RNAcentral lists this ribosomal RNA (467 nucleotides) under uncultured bacterium. RNAcentral's name for it is "partial 16S ribosomal RNA". It matches the Rfam family "Bacterial small subunit ribosomal RNA", at positions 28 to 523 of the family's 1533-position model. The record is from RNAcentral.
GAUGAACGCUGGCGGCGUGCCUAACACAUGCAAGUCGAGCGGCAGCGCGAGUAGUUUACUACUUGGCGGCGAGCGGCGGACGGCUGAGUAACGCGUGGGAACGUGCCCCAAAGUGAGGGAUAACGCACCGAAAGGUGUGCCAAUACCGCAUAUGGUCUUCGGAUUAAAGAAUUUAUUCGCUUUGGGAGCGGCCCGCGUCGGAUUAGGUAGUUGGUAGGGUAAUGGCCUACCAAGCCGACGAUCCGUAGCUGGUCUGAGAGGAUGAUCAGCCAGACUGGAACUGAGACACGGUCCAGACUCCUACGGGAGGCAGCAGUGAGGAAUCUUCCACAAUGGGCGAAAGCCUGAUGGAGCAACGCCGCGUGCAGGAUGAAGGCCUUCGGGUUGUAAACUGCUUUUAUAAGUGAAGAAUAUGACGGUAACUUAUGAAUAAGCACCGGCUAACUACGUGCCAGCCGCCGCGGUAA